Long non-coding RNA from Balaenoptera acutorostrata (minke whale), 311 nucleotides. RefSeq lists it as uncharacterized. The transcript has 4 exons. The record is from RefSeq and is a predicted model, not a curated record. NCBI's taxonomy places the organism in Eukaryota, Metazoa, Chordata, Mammalia, Artiodactyla, Balaenopteridae.
UGCAAACCUGACUAGGGUGGGUUCAAGACAAAGAGAUGGGAGAAACUGGAGAAAAGAUGAGACAACUAAGCCACAAGAAUUAUCAUUGUGGAUACCAAUGAAAGAACUCUGGUAUGGAACCAAAAUCGCCCUUGGGAACUUCAGAGGCUGGCAGUACUUCGAGAUGGAAAAUAGAAAGCAAUGACUAGAAGAUUGGUAGUCUGCAGAAGGAAGAACUAAGUAAUUUGCAAAACUAAAGAACAAAACUAAAAACAGGGCAGCAUUCUGCGCUGGAAUCUACUGAAAGGAAUAAAUAAAACCAAAUACUUGAA